UGGAAGCAAAGUUCUGUGACACUCGGACUCUGAUUAUGAUAGAAGUCAGUGCACUACAGAACUUUGUCGCCGG
MicroRNA precursor from Anolis carolinensis (green anole), 73 nucleotides. It matches the Rfam family "mir-148/mir-152 microRNA precursor family". Rfam says of the family: The hairpin precursors (represented here) are predicted based on base pairing and cross-species conservation -- their extents are not known. The record is from Rfam. NCBI's taxonomy places the organism in Eukaryota, Metazoa, Chordata, Lepidosauria, Squamata, Anolidae.